RNAcentral lists this long non-coding RNA (1161 nucleotides) under Ananas comosus (pineapple). RNAcentral's name for it is "long non-coding RNA (ACOM_LNC010465)". Lineage: Eukaryota; Viridiplantae; Streptophyta; Magnoliopsida; Poales; Bromeliaceae. The record is from RNAcentral.
UUCAGUAUUUUUAUUACAUUUGAAUAUGUGAAUUUUCAUGAAUGUAAUAAAAGGUUUUCUACCCCUCGUGGUAGCGUUUUUAAAGAAUAAAGGUUUCCGUGUAGGAAACAAUUUUCAAAAGGAUUUUUUCAUAGAUUUCUGUUUAAACAUUGAACGUAAAACUGUAAUGUGAAUGGUGAAUGAAUGAUUGCAUAGUCGUUUACAUAUUCAUUUGGUUGUGGUUGUACCUGGGUUACUUCUUGUACUUGUGCGACGCCGUGCAAAUACAGGGGAGACUCUGUCCGUGUGAACAGUGGAUUCCAUGUAUUUGUGGCAGAUCUGGCAUUCCCUGGGGUUAGGUUUUCAAAAAAAAAAAAAAAAAAUUUUUCGCAGUGUUUUUAACCUAAAGGGACCCCAGGGCGUGACAUAUUAAAGUGGUAUCAGAGCAAGUUACAACCACAACAUCAUUCACACGUUGUUUUGAAAAGUAAAUGAAACUGAACCAUUGGUUAGGUUGACCAUAGGAUGACCAUAAAAUCGUAGGCACGUACGAGCGCGGGGUAUACGAGAUUUAGUCUCGAGGUUGUCGAGCUGGUAGGUUCGAGGNAAUAAAAGGUUUUCUACCCCUCGUGGUAGCGUUUUUAAAGAAUAAAGGUUUCCAUGUAGGAAACAGUUUUCAAAAGGAUUUUUUUCAUGGAUUUCUGUUUAAACAUUGAAUGUAAAACUGUGAUGUGAAUGGUGAAUGUAUGAAUGUAUAGUGAUCUUUAUAUUCAUCUAGUUGUGGUUGUAUCCUGGUUGUAUUCUGGUUGUAUUCUUGUACUUGUGCGACGCCGUGCAAAUACAGGGGAGACUCUGUCCGUGUGAAUAGUGGAUCUCCUAUAUUUGUGGCGGAUCUGACAUACUCUGGGGUCAGGUUUGCAAAAAAAAAAAAAAAAUUUCAGACGCUUUUCCGCUAUCUCUUAAACCGAAAGGGACCCCGGGGCGUGACAGAGAGGCCGAAGAUUUUAAUAUUAUUUAAUCAUAUAAAUAAUCCUAUGAUGACUUUGGUCCAAUCUUGAGAAUAGCUUGGUCCAACAUCGAGAAUAUCUUGGUCCAACCUUGAAAAGGAGCUAUAUCUUGAUCAAGAUUCUCUAUUUGGACACUUUCCGUUGGACUAUUCACAACCUCUUCUAUAUGUAAAAG